UAAUACCCUAUAGGUUACAGAUGCUGGAUGCUUCUGUAAUCAAAAGUUCCGGCGCCCUAGGAUGGAUCUGCGGCCGAUUAGGUUGUUGUUGGAGUAAUGGCCCAACAAGCCAGUAAUCGGUACGGGUUGUGGGAGCAAGAGCCCGGAGUUGGAUUCUGAGACACGAAUCCAGGCCCUACGGGGCGCAGCAGGCGCGAAAACUUACCAAUGCGGCCAACCGUGAUAAGGGAACCUCGAGUGCCUGUAAAUGCAGGCUGUUCAGAUGCCUAAAACACAUCUGGAGAAAGGCCGGGGCAAGACCCGGUGCCAGCCCCCGCGGUAAUACCGGCGGCUCGAGUGGUGCCCACUUUUAUUGGGCUUAAAGCGUUCGUAGCUGGGUUGUUAAGUCUCUUGGGGAAAUUUGCCGGCUAACCCGUCAGGCGUCUAAGGGAUACUGGCAAUCUUGGAACCGGGAGAGGUGAGGGUACUUCGGGGUAGGGAGUGAAUCCUGUAUCCUCGAGGACCACCUGUGGCGAAGGCGCCUCACCAGAACGGCUUCGACAGUGAGGGACGAAAGCUGGGGGAGCAAACCGGAUUAGAUACCCGGGUAGUCCCAGCCGUAAACUAUGCGCGUUAGGUGUAU
RNAcentral lists this ribosomal RNA (622 nucleotides) under uncultured archaeon. RNAcentral describes it as "bacterial SSU rRNA". It matches the Rfam family "Archaeal small subunit ribosomal RNA", at positions 147 to 776 of the family's 1478-position model. The record is from RNAcentral.